This 1225-nucleotide ribosomal RNA is filed under the name Nipponocypris temminckii (dark chub). RNAcentral describes it as "partial 16S ribosomal RNA". It matches the Rfam family "Bacterial large subunit ribosomal RNA", at positions 698 to 2561 of the family's 2925-position model. The record is from RNAcentral. Lineage: Eukaryota; Metazoa; Chordata; Actinopteri; Cypriniformes; Xenocyprididae.
AGCCCUAUAGUUUGAAACCCCGAAACCAGGUGAGCUACCCCGAGACAGCCUAUUUAAACUUAGGGCUAACCCGUCUCUGUGGCAAAAGAGUGGGAAGAGCUCCGGGUAGAAGUGACAGACCUACCGAACCUGGUGAUAGCUGGUUGCCUGAGAAAUGGAUAAAAGUUCAGCCUCGUACGCCCCUAGUCAAAUAAAUAUAAUAUUAAGACACAGGGAAAUAUACGAGAGUUAGUUAAAGGGGGUACAGCCCCUCUAACAAAGGAUACAACCUUCACAGGUGGAUAAAGAUCACAAUAUACAAAAUAUACUGUUUUAGUGGGCCUAAAAGCAGCCAUCUAAACAGAAAGCGUUAAAGCUCAGACAGAAUACAAUUUAUUAUACUGAUAAUAAAUCUUACUCCCCUAAAAAUAUCAGGCUAACCCAUGCACCCAUGGAAGAAAUUAUGCUAAAAUGAGUAACAAGAAGACCCGCUCUUCUCCAAGCACAAGUGUAAGCUAGAUCGGACUAACCACUGGAAAUUAACGAACCCAACCCAAGAGAGUAUUGUGAAUAACAAAAAAGCCAAGAAAAACCCACAAUUAAUAUAAUCGUUAACCCCACACUGGAGUGCUAUUUUAAAGGAAAGACUAAAAGAAGGGAAAGGAACUCGGCAAACACAAGCCUCGCCUGUUUACCAAAAACAUCGCCUCCUGCAACUAAAUUGAGUAUAGGAGGUCCAGCCUGCCCAGUGACUACGGGUUCAACGGCCGCGGUAUUUUGACCGUGCAAAGGUAGCGCAAUCACUUGUCUUUUAAAUAGAGACCUGUAUGAAUGGCCAAACGAGGGCUUAACUGUCUCCCCCUUCCAGUCAGUGAAAUUGAUCUAUCCGUGCAGAAGCGGGUAUAAACAUACAAGACGAGAAGACCCUUUGGAGCUUAAGGUACAAAAUCCAACCACGUCAAGCAACUUAACAAAAAGCAAGAACUUAAUGGAAAAUGGAAUUUUACCUUCGGUUGGGGCGACCGCGGAGGAAAAACAAGCCUCCGAGUGGAAUGGGCUAAAUCCCUAAAGCCAAGAGAAACAUCUCUAAGCCGCAGAACAUCUGACCAAAAAUGAUCCGACUAAUAAAGUCGAUCAACGAACCAAGUUACCCUAGGGAUAACAGCGCAAUCCUCUCCCAGAGUCCAUAUCGACGAGGGGGUUUACGACCUCGAUGUUGGAUCAGGACAUCCUAAUGGUGCAGCCG